Molecule: ribosomal RNA, 245 nt
Filed under: uncultured bacterium
Lineage: Bacteria
Description: partial 16S ribosomal RNA
Rfam family: Bacterial small subunit ribosomal RNA
Source: RNAcentral
UACGUAGGUGGCAAGCGUUGUCCGGAAUUAUUGGGCGUAAAGCGCGCGUAGGUGGGAUAGUAAGUCUCAUUUAAAAGAUCGGGGCUCAACCCCGUUAAGGGUGAGAAACUGCUAUUCUUGAGUGCAGGAGAGGAAAGCGGAAUUCCCAGUGUAGCGGUGAAAUGCGUAGAUAUUGGGAGGAACACCAGUGGCGAAGGCGGCUUUCUGGACUGUGUCUGACACUGAGGCGCGAAAGCCAGGGGAGC